Molecule: RNA transcript, 2338 nt
Organism: Prunus dulcis (almond)
Lineage: Eukaryota; Viridiplantae; Streptophyta; Magnoliopsida; Rosales; Rosaceae
Exons: 12
Source: RefSeq, a predicted model, not a curated record
UUGUGUUCGUUGCUGGGCAUGCGUUGGAGGCCGUCGAUUUUUGGUUGGGAGGUGAGCUGCAAAUCCAGCCGCAGCUUUGGCAUCGGGAGAUUUCCUUUUUUCCAAAGGCUUUCCAGAAGAGAAGGCCUCUUCCUUCUGUUCAAAGGCUUCCCAUUUCGAAUAUAUCAAUGGCAGAAGCAACAAAGAGGUAUGCGGUUGUUACUGGGGCAAACAAAGGCAUAGGAUUGGAAACUGUGAGGCAAUUGGCCUCAAAUGGAUUCACUGUAGUUUUAACUGCCAGAGAUGAGAAAAGGGGUCUUGAAGCUGCUGAGAAACUCAAAGAGUCUGGCCUCUCAGGUCAAGUGGUUUUUCAUCAACUUGAUGUGGCUAACCCUGCUACUGUUGCUUCUUUGGCAGACUUCAUCAAAACCCAGUUUGGGAAACUCGAUAUCUUGGAAAAAUGCUGCGAGAAGUGGAGCCAGAUUUGAUGGAUGCUUUAAUUCAGGCUACAAAAGACAGUGACGAAAGUAAGCUGCAAGCUUUAUCUGGUCCAGAGACAUUGAGCAUUGAUGAUAAUGAGGAGCAAGAAGAAGCGGAAGAAACUGAUUAUGAGGAGGAAGAAGAGGGUUCUCAUAUUGAUGUAGCUACCAGAUGGUUUGACAGUCUGAUCAAUAAGGACGUUCAAGGUUUCUGUCAGUCAAUACAAGUAGGGAGAUGGAUCACCAUGAGGAGGAAUCCCGUGCUGGGGGUGAACCUCAUGGGAAGCAAGAUGAUGAGGAGAUCUUGGGUACGAAAUCCAAAUAUGAGAAGCGGUCAUUUGGCCAAAUUGUUUAACGAUUCUUCGCUUUAAAGCUUCUUUUGUUUCUGUUUUUGUCCCUCCUCCUUCGUUGAGAGGGUUUGGUUCGCAGAGACAAAGCCCUGGCUUCAGUUUGUUUCCAACCAGCUGGUUGGGGGGCAGCCAUGGGAGAACAGUGUUCGUUGCUGGAGAUGUGUUGGAGGCCGUCGAUUUUUGUUUGGGAGGUGAGCUGCAAAUCUAGCCGCAGCUGUGGGAUCGGGAGAUUUCAUUUUUUCUGCAUCCUUUGACUCAGGCUUCUAUCUUUCAUGCUUACGAAUAUUUGCAUCGUUGCUCUUCAGGAAGGUUUAUGCUUCUUUGGCAAGAAGAGAAAUGCUGCAAGGAACCCAAAAAUACCAGGACUCUUCAUGCCUAAUAGGAAACCCAAUAGAUGACUGUUAGGAAUGUAACCCAAAUUGGCCAAACAACAGGCAGAGCUUAGCAGAUUGUGCAAUUGGGUUUGGCCAAUAUGCUCUUGGAGGCAAAGGUGGUGAGUAUUAUAUUGUCAGAGACUCUUCUAAUGAUGAUGCUGUGAAUCCAAGGCCAGGCACUCUGAGUUAUGCUGUGAUACAGACUGAGCCUCUCUGGAUUGUGUUCCCUGGCAACAUGCUCAUCAAGCUCUCCCAAGAGCUCAUCUUCAACAGCUACAAGACCCUUGAUGGCCGUGGAGCCAAUGUCCACAUUGUGGGUGGUGGCUGCAUCACAUUGCAGUUCAUAAGCAAUGUCAUCAUCCACAAUGUGCAUAUCCACAACUGUUAUCCGUCAGGUGGGUUUUUCUGGUAAUGCAUCUUCAGCCCCUGAAUCAAGAAAUUGUAAAUUCUCCAGUAAUGUGAUGAUUCAUGCAGUUGACAAAUUCGGGAGCUUCUUAAGGCAAUUUCCUCUUUUUCCAAAUGCUUUUCUCGUUGGUGGUUGGUGCAGAAGACUUCUUUAUUAUUCAACUUGCAGAUCAGGUAAAUUUUGAAGCACUCUGUGCUGCAAGUACUUUUGUGAAGUAUUUGUUCUCACAUUGCAUUGAAUGAGGUCGAUAUUUCCUUUACCGGUCAGCUUCAAAAACUGAAGGUGGAACCAGCACAUAAAACUUCUCCAGGGCUUGAGUCAUUGGGUAUUAUUGUUGGAAUUAUUUUCUUGGUCUUGGGAAUCUUAUUCCAGUUUUUCAACUUCACUGCAAAUUCAAAUCUGUUGAAAGGUUUGCUCAUGAGGACAAGGGUGAUUUUGCAACUUCACUAAAGCAUUUUAGAGUCAAAACCUCUACAGAGGAGUAGAAAGAAUGUAAGCCACCUGUACAGCAGAGCUAGCAAGACCUAGAUCCCCUUCCACCACCCAGUACCAUAUAUAUAAACACCUGCCCAAACUCUUUUGAACAAUGAGCAACUAAAGGUUGCCCAUAUUUUGAUGUUUUUAUAACUGCUUGAUCUAUUAAAAUAUGCCCAAUAUUUUCACAUAACAAGUAGCACAUAAAACAUGUUAUUAGUUUAUUUUUUGUAACUUAACCUUGCUAAACUAAGCAUGAUACCACUAUUUACAUCA